Non-coding RNA from Enterococcus sp. 6C8_DIV0013, 141 nucleotides. The record is from Rfam. Lineage: Bacteria; Bacillati; Bacillota; Bacilli; Lactobacillales; Enterococcaceae.
GAAAUUAAGAAGAAGCACCCGCUUCUCGCCUUAGUGAUAUUUAUGACUGGGCUUGAUAGAAAAUUUUCCUUAUUUAUAUAGGGAUAAUUGUUUAGGUGCGGGACUUUUUAAUAUUAAAAAGACUCGUUUUUUUUCGUUUUU